AAUCAACGCUGGCGGCGUGCCUCAGACAUGCAAGUCGAACGCGAAAGUUCCCUUCGGGGAGCAAGUAGAGUGGCGCACGGGUGAGUAACACGUAGGUAAUUUGCCUUCGGGUGGGGAAGUAACAGUCGGAAACGACUGCUAAUACCGCAUAAUGCAGCGGCUCGACAUCGAGACAGUUGUUAAAGCGGGGGAUCCUUCGGGACCUCGCGCCUGAAGAGAAGCCUGCGGCAGAUUAGCUAGUUGGUGAGGUAAUGGCCCACCAAGGCUACGAUCUGUAACCGGCCUGAGAGGGCGGUCGGUCACACUGACACUGACAUACGGGUCAGACUCCUACGGGAGGCAGCAGUCGGGAAUUUUGGGCAAUGGGCGCAAGCCUGACCCAGCAACGCCGCGUGAAGGAU
RNAcentral lists this ribosomal RNA (401 nucleotides) under uncultured bacterium. RNAcentral describes it as "bacterial SSU rRNA". It matches the Rfam family "Bacterial small subunit ribosomal RNA", at positions 32 to 409 of the family's 1533-position model. The record is from RNAcentral.